GACGAACGCUGGCGGCGUGCUUAACACAUGCAAGUCGAGCGGUAAGGCCCUUUCGGGGGUACGACGAGCGGCGAACGGGUGAGUAACACGUGGGUGACCUGCCCUUAGCUCUGGGAUAAGCCUGGGAAACUGGGUCUAAUACCGGAUAUGACUCCAUGACGCAUGUUGUGGGGUGGAAAGCCUUGUGCGGCUAGGGAUGGGCCCGCGGCCUAUCAGCUUGUUUGGNGGGGUGAUGGCCCUACCAAGGCGACGACGGGUAGCCGGCCUGAGAGGGCGACCGGCCACACUGGGACUGAGACACGGCCCAGACUCCUACGGGAGGCAGCAGUGGGGAAUCUUGCGCAAUGGGCGAAAGCCUGACGCAGCGACGCCGCGUGA
RNAcentral lists this ribosomal RNA (378 nucleotides) under uncultured bacterium. Its description in RNAcentral is "bacterial SSU rRNA". It matches the Rfam family "Bacterial small subunit ribosomal RNA", at positions 28 to 404 of the family's 1533-position model. The record is from RNAcentral.